This 200-nucleotide ribosomal RNA is filed under the name uncultured prokaryote. Its description in RNAcentral is "partial 16S ribosomal RNA". It matches the Rfam family "Bacterial small subunit ribosomal RNA", at positions 1183 to 1382 of the family's 1533-position model. The record is from RNAcentral.
CGUCAAAUCAGCACGGCCCUUACAUCCGGGGCGACACACGUGUUACAAUGGUGAGGACAAAGGGCAGCUACCUGGCGACAGGAUGCGAAUCUCCAAACCUCAUCUCAGUUCGGAUCGGAGUCUGCAACCCGACUCCGUGAAGCUGGAUUCGCUAGUAAUCGCGCAUCAGCCAUGGCGCGGUGAAUACGUUCCCGGGCCUU